Molecule: long non-coding RNA, 741 nt
Organism: Capsella rubella
Lineage: Eukaryota; Viridiplantae; Streptophyta; Magnoliopsida; Brassicales; Brassicaceae
Exons: 3
Source: RefSeq, a predicted model, not a curated record
CUCGUGUACCAAACGAAGCGAAAUUUUGAAAUCACAUUUGACGAGAGACACACAAAAGCUUCUUCUAUGCUCCUCGGGACUAUUCAUGGCGGAAAGGCGCCAAAUUUUCAGCAACCUUCGUGAGAAAUUGGGUUAACCAUGGUGCUGGCUGAUACAAAUAUUGAUUAAUUGUUCAUUGGUAGAGAUUGGAGAAGAACGAUGGAGGAUUGCAUUCUCCCGCAGCUAGUGAACUCAAUUGAGAUUCCGAGGUCAAUUCUUCACGGUACUCCAAAUCAUUUUUUCCUGAGGAAUUUGGCACUGCAGAGGGGAGAAAGGCCACGAGAUAGAAGACAUCUUCAUUUGGAGUUAUCAAAGAUGUAUGUUUGAUCCACCUGCAACCAAAAACAUGUUGGAGAUGGAGAUUCAGCCAGGGAUGUGGAACCUCCCAUAAACCCUUUGCUCUCAGUUUUCUCUCCGCAAUAUGCACUCGAUCCAGAAACUCAAUGUAUGGCACUUCAGAUGAAAACAAAGUGGACCGAAUGUAAUUCAACUCUGAAAGUAACUUGCUAGUUUCCUGCAGGGCAACCAUUCGUUAUGUUAGCAACCAACGGUUGAUCUAGAGCUUUCUGUAGAAACUAAAUUUCAUUAUAUAUUGCUUUCAUAUCUUACCUGAUUCAUUGAGCUAGCUUCUUCUGGGUUGAAAUAUUUGACCACUUCUAGGCAAUACAGAGUUUUCCCAUCUGACUUGAAUUUGCUAGCCUG